This 3107-nucleotide long non-coding RNA is filed under the name Salvia miltiorrhiza (redroot sage). RNAcentral describes it as "long non-coding RNA (SMIL_LNC000180)". The record is from RNAcentral. Lineage: Eukaryota; Viridiplantae; Streptophyta; Magnoliopsida; Lamiales; Lamiaceae.
UGUUACGGGGUCCCAGACCGUAACGGCAUGUUGCCCAAGUCCCGCCCCCGCGGGCACUCUGCUCAAGCCCCGCCCCUGCGGGCAUCUGAAGUCCCGUCCCCGCGGGCAUCCGAGCACCGACCGAUGUGGGACCCCAAGGCGUAUUGCAGGUGACUUCCGAGCUGCCCAACAUGCCAAGGAGUCCUUAUUUUAGGUGUUAGGACCUUUUCCAUGUAUAUAUAGUUAGUUGUAAGCCUCGGCCUUGCACGGCCGUUUUUGGAGCAACUUGCGCUUUUCAGCGUCUGUUGGUGUAACUAGGGUUUUGGCCCAGAAUCCCUCUAUAGGGGGAAAGGGUUGUAGAAAGACUUGUUGCUAGAAUUGCCUGGAGCGUCCCCCUCUCCAAUCAAUUCAUUGUAAGGUGUUGCCUACUUGUACACAUUGUUGCUAUUAAUGAAAAUGGUGUUCCUACCAAUUGUGUACGUCUCUGCGGGACCACUAAAGCACCUUCCGGUGUGAGUGCGUCGUCUCUGCACCAGCUUUCGAGUGAGCUCGAUUGUGAGGCGGAAGUAGUCGCUGGAGCCGACUGCUAGCCGCACGGUGCGCUAAUCUACGCUAACGCUACAAGCGCCCCGUGACAGGUGGUAUCAGAGCCUCGGCUCCUGAUCCAUCGGACCGAGGCAGUGCUAUGGAAGAUUCAGCACACGGCGGGGAGGGUGGGGGAGAGACCCACAAAACCCCAAGCCACAAACGGAGGAUCCAAGCGCUUGAGGAAGAGAGCACUCAAGCAAGAAAGGAUUUCUUGGCCUUGGAGGAGAAGGUCGAGACGCUCGAGGGAUUAAUCCAAGGGCAACAACAGAGAAUAGGGGCCUUGGAGAUGGCUAACGCCGGCCUCCAAGAUACUGUUGAGGAGAGCCGCCAAGCGUGGCGGAAAAUGGCUGAGGCAGGACCAGCGGGCGAUGCUAACGGCACCGAAGUGAGAGAACUUCGCAGAAUUGUCGAUGGACUACGGGCCGAGGUCGUAGUCCUUCACCGUGCCAGUGACCACAGUCGAGACAUCGAAGACCUACAGAAUGCGGUGGCAACCAUCAACCGCGCACUAGCCAAUACUGGGCCCAGACCGACCGGGGGUGGACUAGGGAACGGCCCUCGGAAGAAGAUUCCCGACCCCAUCCCCUACGACGGAGUUCGAGAUGCCAAGGUCAUCGGCAAUUUCCUCUUCGACAUGGAACAAUACUUCUCAGCAGCAAACAUUGUCGACGAGCGUGAGAAAGUAUCUACGGCUUCCAUGUACUUGACGGGAAAUGCUAAGCUAUGGUGGCGGGGAGUGUUUGAGGACAUUCGAGCCAGGCGAAUUCAAGUUGACACCUGGGAAGGACUGAAGCAAACCCUCAAGGACCACUUCUACCCGACUAACGUGGCCCUAAAUGCCCACAUGAUACUACGAGAUCUGAAGCAGACUGGGCCCAUAAGCGAGUACGUUAAGGCCUUCUCCGAUGUCAUACUAGACCUUCGUGAGAUGGAUGAAGCCACGAAGGUCCACCAGUUCAUGGUGGGACUUAAGCCGUGGGCAAUGACCAGAGCUACAACGGCAGAACCCGACAACGAUAUCCGCCGCAAUAGCCGCAGCAGAGCGCUUGAAUGACUAUCAAGCCGAAUCUCGGAGGAAGACCACCACGCCAAGUAGUGGCCAACAAAGGGGGAGUAGCAACAAAUCUUUCAAACCUAACUUCACGCGAAGUGGGGGAGAAAAACCUGCUUACUCCCAGGGAAGUUCACAAGGCAGCUCCGGGCGGGUAAGUUCCAAACUGAUAACAAGGGCAAUGCCCCACCGAAGACAGGAGGGUGUUUCAUUUGCGACGGCCCACAUCGCAUGAAGGAUUGCCCAAAGAAACAGUUGUUGAAUGCCAUGGAACAGUGCUACGGACUGGGACCGCCUCCCAAGAAGAAGGGAAAGGAGCCCCAAGUGACCGAACCAGAAAGCGGCAGCGAGGAGGGCUCUGAAAGUGAGGAUGAAGAGGAGAACCUUGGUGCCUUCUCGCACCGAUGCAACGCCAUGGCUAGAGUCGCAGCGUCAAAGAGAAGCCAACAGAAGAACAAAGGGCUGAGGACUGCCCCAGCGUUGUCGAACCCUACCGGAGAAGGGGAAACGGCGAAAUUAACCAGAAGCAAAGGGUUGAUGUUCGUCGAUGUUAAGAUCAACGGGAAGCUCAUCAAAGCCAUGGUAGACACAGGAGCGACCCAUAACUACCUUGCCAGCUCCGAAGUCGAGAAACUCGGGUUGGUACUAGAGAAGGGAGUGGGACGAGUGAAAGCAAUCAACUCCGAGGCACAGCCGAUCGCAGGAGUUGCAAAGUCGGUGCACAUUAGGGUCGGACCGUACGAAGGAAGGACCAGCCUAUCCGUGGUGACGAUGGACGACUUCAAGCUUAUCCUGGGGCUGGAUUUCCUGAGAGAUACGAAGACAGCAGUGCUGCCUUACGCGGAUGCCCUGAUGAUGAUGGGAGAUAAACCGUGCGUCACGCAGACUGUAUCACCGAAAGUAAGCUCCAAACCGCUGUCUGCCAUGCAGUUCGUUAAGGGAGGUAGGAAGAACGACGCGUCGUUCCUAUGCUACCUCCGCUUCGAAGAGAUUGAAGAGAAGUCGGGGCCGAUCCCCAAUGCGGCGAAGAACCUCCUCCGCGAGUUUGAGGACGUGAUGCCAGCCGAACUACCUAAGAAACUGCCACCGAAGAGGGCAGUCGACCACGAAAUCGAGUUGGUACCGGGCACAAAGCCUCCCGCCCGGGCCCCAUAUCGAAUGUCAUAUCCUGAGCUAGAGGAGCUUAGGAAACAAAUUGAAGGAGCUGUUGGUUACGGACUCCUUCGGCCGGCCAAGUCACCAUAUGGAGCACCGGUGCUAUNGCUGGAGCCGACUGCUAGCCGCACGGUACGCUAAUCUACGCUAAUGCUACAAGUGCCUCGUGACAGGAGGUAUCACAGCCUCGGCGACGGGGAUGGUGGGGGAGAGACCCACAAAACCCCAAGCCACAAACGGAGGAUCCAAGUGCUUGAGAAUGAGAGCUCUCAAGCAAGACAUGAUUUCUCGGCCUUAGAGGAGAAGGUCGAGACGCUCGAGGGAUUAAUCCAAG